UCCUCGAUAGCUCAGUCGGUAGAGCAAUCGGCUGUUAACCGAUCGGUCGUAGGUUCGAGUCCUACUCGAGGAG
Veillonella parvula is the source of this 73-nucleotide non-coding RNA. The record is from Rfam. Lineage: Bacteria; Bacillati; Bacillota; Negativicutes; Veillonellales; Veillonellaceae.